Molecule: ribosomal RNA, 765 nt
Filed under: uncultured beta proteobacterium
Lineage: Bacteria; Pseudomonadati; Pseudomonadota; Betaproteobacteria
Description: bacterial SSU rRNA
Rfam family: Bacterial small subunit ribosomal RNA
Source: RNAcentral
CAGGGUGCUUGCACCGCUGACGAGUGGCGAACGGGUGAGUAAUACAUCGGAAUGUACCCAGUAAUGGGGGAUAACGCUUCGAAAGGAGUGCUAAUACCGCAUACGCCCUGAGGGGGAAAGUGGGGGACCGCAAGGCCUCACGUUAUUGGAGCAGCCGAUGGCUGAUUAGCUAGUUGGUAGGGUAAAGGCCUACCAAGGCAACGAUCAGUAGCGGGUCUUAGAGGACGAUCCGCCACACUGGAACUGAGACACGGUCCAGACUCCUACGGGAGGCAGCAGUGGGGAAUCUUGGACAAUGGGCGAAAGCCUGAUCCAGCAAUGCCGCGUGCGUGAAGAAGGCCUUCGGGUUGUAAAGCGCUUUUGUCGGGGAGGAAAUCCUAGUGGCUAAUAACCGCUGGGGAUGACAGUACCCGAAGAAUAAGGACCGGCUAACUACGUGCCAGCAGCCGCGGUAAUACGUAGGGUCCAAGCGUUAAUCGGAAUUACUGGGCGUAAAGCGUCCGCAGGUGGCUUGAUAAGAUAGACGUGAAAUCCCUGGGCUCAACCUAGGAAUUGCGUUUAUGACUGUCUCGCUAGAGUAUGGGAGAGGGGGGUGGAAUUCCACGUGUAGCAGUGAAAUGCGUAGAGAUGUGGAGGAACACCGAUGGCGAAGGCAACCCCCUGGCCUAAUACUGACACUCAUGGACGAAAGCGUGGGGAGCAAACAGGAUUAGAUACCCUGGUAGUCCACGCCCUAAACGAUGUCUACUAGUUGUUGGGCUUUUC